UGACUGCGGGCCCGAGCCGCGUGGAUUUGGGGGCGACUCCGCGACCUGGGCAGUGGAGAUCGGAGCAUCCGAGAAGCUUUGCGAGGCGCGCGGAGGGAGGGGGGCGCCGGUUUCUGGGUCCCCGCCUCUAACUCUGCCUGGUCCCCUCCAGCGUCUUCCACGCCCAAACCCUGGCAGGGUCGGGAGCAGGUGGGAGGGGAGAGCUUUGAAACCCUGGUAGGGCCUGGGGGCCGGAGCUAGUCCACGGCUAUCAGCCGCCCCCGGAGCCCCGCAGUGGGUCAGUAAGACGCGCCGCGGACGCUCUGAGCUGGAGGUGGGAAGAAGAUUGCCUCUUCCUUCGCACCCCAGCGACGUAGGCUGCCACCCUCCUGGAAGACUGGUGUUAUGGUGAUUGGUGAUCCUGGAUGAUCCUUGGUGAUGAGUGAUCGUGAGAACUCUCUGGGCCCCAUGGGAGGGCAGGAGCUUUCCUCCCGAAUUAAAUCUCUCCUUGGCUGCUGGUGUAAUCGCUGCGGACUCGCCAACCCCCUAAACAUCUGCUUUACUCCUGGGCAAAUAGGAGGUGCUGGUGUCUAGUGCAAAGAGCUCAGUUCUACGCUCACAACCAAUGUCUGGCUGUCCAGAUGCCAUCUCAAAACAAACAACAAAACGCUGGCUUUUGAAACAAGAAGGAAACUGCUGAAGUAUCUUUCCAAGCCACUCGGUGCAGCCUCCUUUAGCACACCUGUGCUGAAGAGAGGAGCCACCAUGGGAAAGCAAAAGGCAGAUGCUGAAGGAGGGAGGCCAGGCCAUCGAGGAGGUCUAUCCUGCCUUAGACUGGCUCUCCUAGAUCCAUCUGUCCUGGAGAAGCAGGGCGAGGUGUCCAGUCCAGGGGCCAGUCCCAGGUCAUCAUAAACCCUGCCUCACCAAGGAAGCACACCAGCAAUGCAGAUUCCUGGGUCACACCCUUCCCCACCACCACUUGGAUCCAGACGCUGGGUGGGGCCCAGAAACCAGGCUUCAAGAACAAACCGUGGAGUCUAAAGGCUUGUUACCCAUCUCUACAGCACCAAGGCAUGGAAGGAUGCUCCAGUUCCUCUCCCUGCUCAGAGCUGCCUGUACGCUGGCCUGAGGAACCAAGACUGCCCUGCACUCUCCCAGUUAGUACCGUAACUUGGGCAAGUCCAUUCUCAGAGGAUGGCAGAUACAUCCAAAUGGAAUAGGGUCUCUUUCCAGAUGUCUGCAAAGAUCUGAGCCCCUCAUUCAACCUUAGCCCUGUGGCCACUGCACCUCUGCUUCCUGUCACAGGGACCUCAGAGCCAGUGAGGUAGGCCCUGAGGAGGGAGUCCAGAGAACACACCAUUUCACGGAAGUCCCUACCACGGCUGUUUCUGCCAUGGCUUUUCACCCUCCACACUGGCACUGAAGAAUGCUAUCUUUUAAUACCAGUUGGACUUGACUUAAAACCUGUCUGGCUCCUUAAAACAAAGCCCAUGUCCCAGGCCUGACCUUUGGGGCUGGCUCCUCCCUUUCCAAACUUCAUACUUCAGCCUUAGGAACGCAGCCACACGUACCUGUGCUUUUGCUUGGCACAUUCCAAGUCUCUCGCUUGCUCACUAAGAUUCCACUUUGGGUCACCGGCUCCCAAGUGACACGCCCCCAGCCUGCAAGGAGGGUAACUCCUGCCGCACCUGAGCUGGGCAUUCCAAUCACAACACCUACUGCGGGACAAUGAGAUUCCAUCAUACGCCUGCCUUCUCCCAGAGCCUAGCUCCUCAGCGCCAGCCACAGUGUCCUUGUCACCCUGGUGAUUCCAGUACCCGGAAAGAACUUGGCAUUCCUGCUCCCCACCUGAUGGACUGAAUGGAUUCUUCCCAUACUAAGGAAUUGAUGUGGGGAACAGAGGGAGAAGUUGGGGGUCUUCAGACAUCUGAGGGUCUUAUAGAUGCCUCUGGUCAUGGGUUGUAGCCAAUUACACUCUUCUGAAAUGGACCUAGAAAUCACAUCAGCAGCCUGGCCAUCAUGGUCAACUGAAGCCUCUGAGGAUGUUCUCUGGCUUGUGGGCAUGCUCAGAUCAGACGCUGGGUUGGUACCUCCCAAACAUCUGCAUUUGGCCCUAAGGGAUCCCCUGGCUCUUUUGCUGCGCUCCACCAAACACGUGGGGUCUGAGCUGCUGGGGAAAACCCCCUGUGGGACUUCCCUGUCAGGACACUGGGGAGCAGAAGCUGGCCUGAAUUCACCCCAGAGAGCAUGCUAGAAGUGGCUUGGUGCUGGGGCCAUCAGGGCAGCAUCUACCCCUCGAGGCCACAGAACUUGAGUCCACAGGCUUACGGCUCAGAGGACAUACAUGAAGAACAGAUGUGAUCUAAGCAGUUAGGUUCUGGCUUCUCUCCCUGGGUGGCUCUUCCUAUAGACAUCACAUCUAGGACUCAGCCUUCCCCGCUUCUGGCCCUGCUGGGACAUUAGGGGAAGACCCUCCACAGACGGGGAAACACUCAUGGAGACAGGAUCACCUGGGGCCAAUCACUUCAUGCUUCGGAGCACACAGUGGGGCUUCCUGUGCACCUGCCUCUCCUUGCCCUACUGGCUAAAGGGAAGCUGGACAGGAAAGCCUACUUUUGCACAAACUGAAGUGUUUUACCGGGGCGUCUCUAGUUUCUAGGCUAAAUAAAGGAAAGCCCUACAGUGGCCC
Non-coding RNA from Myodes glareolus (Bank vole), 2668 nucleotides. Lineage: Eukaryota; Metazoa; Chordata; Mammalia; Rodentia; Cricetidae. The record is from RefSeq and is a predicted model, not a curated record.